GCGGGUGUAGCUCAGUGGUAGAGCACAACCUUGCCAAGGUUGGGGUCGAGGGUUCGAACCCCUUCGCCCGCU
RNAcentral lists this transfer RNA (72 nucleotides) under Aliirhizobium cellulosilyticum. RNAcentral describes it as "Rhizobium cellulosilyticum tRNA". It matches the Rfam family "tRNA". From Rfam's summary of the family: Transfer RNA (tRNA) molecules are approximately 80 nucleotides in length. Their secondary structure includes four short double-helical elements and three loops (D, anti-codon, and T loops). Further hydrogen bonds mediate the characteristic L-shaped molecular structure. tRNAs have two regions of fundamental functional importance: the anti-codon, which is responsible for specific mRNA codon recognition, and the 3' end, to which the tRNAs corresponding amino acid is attached (by aminoacyl-tRNA synthetases). tRNAs cope with the degeneracy of the genetic code in two manners: having more than one tRNA (with a specific anti-codon) for a particular amino acid; and 'wobble' base-pairing, i.e. permitting non-standard base-pairing at the 3rd anti-codon position. RNAcentral also lists the same sequence under 3 other names. The record is from Rfam by way of RNAcentral. Lineage: Bacteria; Pseudomonadati; Pseudomonadota; Alphaproteobacteria; Hyphomicrobiales; Rhizobiaceae.